Cicer arietinum (chickpea) is the source of this 1824-nucleotide non-coding RNA. The record is from RefSeq and is a predicted model, not a curated record. NCBI's taxonomy places the organism in Eukaryota, Viridiplantae, Streptophyta, Magnoliopsida, Fabales, Fabaceae.
CGGUUGUUUGUGUUGUCCUGUUUAAUUGCCUUGUCUUUCUUAGUUCCGAAAUAUAGUAACCUCACAAAAGUGGUUGAAAAGUAGCACUCUUUAAUUUUCACUAACGGAAACAAACACCACAUGUUCACCAUCACCUUCAGACUCAUAAAAUACUCAAACCCAGAUCGAGCUCACUCUACCUUUAGAGGUGCAUACAAACUCAAUAAGUUUUCUUCCCCCAAAUUGAAGGAAAAAGAAGAAAAAAAUAUUCCAAAGGUCUUUGCUUGUUAUGGAGGUACUAAUGUAAUAAAAAGCGUGGCUUUUGAUGGUACUUGUGUGUUUUAAAAUUUCAUUUGAUGGUGUUGAACCUGAAACCCAAAUGGAGUUCCUCAAAAGAAAGGUACGCCUUGUUACUGUUUCUUCUCUAACGGAAUUAUUUAUUUAUCUGAAACAAAACCCUAAUUUAUCGAUCAUCUUUGCUUUCCCUCAAUUUGUGAUUCCUUCUUAUUAAUCCUUGAGGAGACAAAAUCGGUAAAGUAAGAAUUCAUUUUAUUUGAAGCCUCUUAAUCAAUCAAAUAAUAAUGCAUAUAUUUCUUCUGCUUGCUAAAUAUGGUAAUGUUUUUGUUCUUUAAUUUUCCUUUCUAGUUGUAGCUAGUACCUCCUACUACCUAUAUGCAUUAAUUUUGAUUCAGCUUAAUUAAUUAGGUUAACUGUUUUUCUAAAUCAUCAUCUUCUCAUAAUCUUUAAUUUUAAUUUACAAAUUGCAUUAUUUUUCACAUCCUCGCUAUUUGGGUUCAUAAUUUAUGCGUUUAUUUAAACAGAAAAGCUGAGGAAAAUGUUUGUCUCAGAAGUUGGUUGCUCGGAACUGCAAAUUAAUAGAAGAACUUGGAGGCUGAAUCACUAUAUAUAAUCAUCAGAUUUUGGAUCAGGAGAAUUGUUGGAAUAUUCACAGACAAGUAUGCCAUCAAAAUAAAGAAAUUUGACAAUAUGCAGAAGAAUCUUAUAAUGGACGAGUACAUUGGGAGCAUAGAAGAUUCACAUUUAAAUGCUUCUACUUCAACUGACUAUGACUAUUGCAAUGAUCCAUUUCAAAGUUGGACCAGGAUUGCCUGCAUUAGCAGCAUCACGCAGUUUGCUGUAGUAGACAAUCUCAACCAUUGAUUUGAAAUUAGAUUAUUCAAAUUACACAUUAGUAAAAUUAAGUAUAAACUUACUAGACAAUCUCAACCAUUGAUUUGAAAUUGGACAAUUCAAAUUACACAUCAAUAAAAUUAAGUAAAAACGAUCUCAGUAGUUGAAUUUAAAUCAGGCGGUCCUGAUCUGUUACAGCGUCCUGAUGUAUCGGUGGAGAAUCCGAAUCCGUGGUAAUAGUGUGUGGUUUUGGCCUGUAUCCUUUACAUGACGAUGGUAUGAUAGUACAAGUAUCAAGUUGGUGACUAGCAAGAUUUCCAAGGUCAUUAUUAUGAUGAUGAUAAUGAUAAUAAAAAGAGGUUGUGUUGUGGUCUCAAUCAAUUCAAUUCAAUAUGAUGUAAAUGAUUGUUCAUACGUCGCACCAAGCCACCUACUAAGUUUUUGUGGAAUUUCUGAAUGAGUGGUGUGGUGGCUCCCUGCUUAGUCAGUCACAUGGCGCAUGCAUCAAAUAAUUAAAGGGAGAUUCUCCGGUGAAUUGGUCAUGUAAACUGUAAUAAAGAAUGAGCUUGUGAAGAAAAAGCACAAGUUGGUGUAGUGUAUAUAUAGUGUGUGAUAUACAUUGUUUUGACCACAGUCUGACAACUAUGUUUAAAUUGGCAGUGAAUUUGUCAAUAUUACGGUAGUUCUUUUUUAUUAUAACAAUUUCACCGUCCA